Molecule: ribosomal RNA, 454 nt
Filed under: uncultured bacterium
Lineage: Bacteria
Description: partial 16S ribosomal RNA
Rfam family: Bacterial small subunit ribosomal RNA
Source: RNAcentral
GAUGAACGCUGACAGAAUGCUUAACACAUGCAAGUCUACUUGAACUUCGGUUUAGGUGGCGGACGGGUGAGUAACGCGUAAAGAACUUGCCUCACAGAUAGGGACAACAUUUGGAAACGAAUGCUAAUACCUGAUAUUAUGAUUUUAGGGCAUCCUAGAAUUAUGAAAGCUAUAUGCACUGUGAGAGAGCUUUGCGUCCCAUUAGCUAGUUGGAGAGGUAACGGCUCACCAAGGCGAUGAUGGGUAGCCGGCCUGAGAGGGUGAUCGGCCACAAGGGGACUGAGACACGGCCCUUACUCCUACGGGAGGCAGCAGUGGGGAAUAUUGGACAAUGGACCAAGAGUCUGAUCCAGCAAUUCUGUGUGCACGAUGAAGUUUUUCGGAAUGUAAAGUGCUUUCAGUUGGGAAGAAAAAAAUGACGGUACCAACAGAAGAAGUGACGGCUAAAUACGUG